Molecule: small nucleolar RNA, 187 nt
Filed under: Cervus hanglu yarkandensis (Yarkand deer)
Lineage: Eukaryota; Metazoa; Chordata; Mammalia; Artiodactyla; Cervidae
Description: Small nucleolar RNA SNORA74 (ENSCHYG00000018289.1)
Rfam family: Small nucleolar RNA SNORA74
About the family: U19 belongs to the H/ACA class of snoRNAs. snoRNAs bind a number of proteins (including dyskerin, Gar1p and Nop10p in the case of the H/ACA class) to form snoRNP complexes. This class are thought to guide the sites of modification of uridines to pseudouridines by forming direct base pairing interactions with substrate RNAs.
Source: Rfam by way of RNAcentral
CAGUAGUCAGCUGUCGGGACAGAACCAUUCCUGUAACAGUGUUACACUGAAUGUUCUGUCUUCUUCUCCAGUUGCCUUCGUCACUGUUCUGGUGGCGUCUGGCACUGGUGAGGGCAGAGCUGUGCUUCCUUGAGAGUAUGCUAAACAUUCACUUUGGCUGCUUAGUUCUAGUCUGGGAGCAGACACA